RNAcentral lists this long non-coding RNA (213 nucleotides) under Brassica napus (rape). RNAcentral describes it as "long non-coding RNA (BNAP_LNC026648)". Lineage: Eukaryota; Viridiplantae; Streptophyta; Magnoliopsida; Brassicales; Brassicaceae. The record is from RNAcentral.
AAGAAAAAUAUUUAAAAAUACAAAAUUUUGAUGAAAAAUUCUUAAAGAAUACUCAUCUAUCCACAAAUAUUCUUGUUAUCCUAAUUUAUAAAUCACAAUCCUAAAUAUACAAUAUUUCUCAAGAAAAUGAAAACUUUGUAAAAAUAUCAAUUUUUAAGAAAAUUAUUUAAAUAUACAACCUAUUGAUGAAAAAUUCUUAAAGAAUACUCAUCU